UACAGAGGAUGCAAGCGUUAUCCGGAAUGAUUGGGCGUAAAGCGUCCGCGGGUGGUUUUGUAAGUCUGCUGUUAAAGCGUUAGGCUCAACCUAAUAAGGGCAGUGGAAACUAUGAGACUAGAGUAUGUUAGGGGUAGAGGGAAUUCCCAGUGUAGCGGUGAAAUGCGUAGAGAUUGGGAAGAGCACCGGUGGCGAAGGCGGGACUCUGGGCCGAUACUGACGCUGAGGAGCGAAAGCGUGGGGAGCAAACAGG
This 253-nucleotide ribosomal RNA is filed under the name uncultured bacterium. RNAcentral's name for it is "partial 16S ribosomal RNA". It matches the Rfam family "Bacterial small subunit ribosomal RNA", at positions 524 to 776 of the family's 1533-position model. The record is from RNAcentral.